This 123-nucleotide transfer RNA is filed under the name Methanonatronarchaeum thermophilum. RNAcentral's name for it is "tRNA-Cys". It matches the Rfam family "tRNA". Rfam says of the family: Transfer RNA (tRNA) molecules are approximately 80 nucleotides in length. Their secondary structure includes four short double-helical elements and three loops (D, anti-codon, and T loops). Lineage: Archaea; Methanobacteriati; Methanobacteriota; Methanonatronarchaeia; Methanonatronarchaeales; Methanonatronarchaeaceae. The record is from RNAcentral.
GCCAAGGUGGCAGAGUGGUAAUGCAGCGGCCUGCAGAACCUAAAACAAAUUUUCUUACUAAAAAGCUAAGACAAGACUAAAGUAGAUAGCCGCCAUUCCCCGGUUCAAAUCCGGGCCUUGGCU